Anopheles arabiensis is the source of this 684-nucleotide long non-coding RNA. RefSeq lists it as uncharacterized. The record is from RefSeq and is a predicted model, not a curated record. The transcript is spliced from 2 exons. Lineage: Eukaryota; Metazoa; Arthropoda; Insecta; Diptera; Culicidae.
UGUGAAUCAAAACGUAACAUCAAAACGGAAAGAAAAGAAUGGAGGAAAUAUUAUAAUGAUAGUAGCAAGCACAACACACCAUUUACGACAAGCGAAACUGAACGGAAGCAGAUAAAGAGGUAAGAUACGAACGAAAUAAUGUAAAACGUAUUCACAAGAGAAGCACAAUACACAAACAGAUAGAAACAAAACAAAAAAUCACAUGGAAAAGUGGAAGAAGAACAACAAUCAUGCAGCAAAAUGGAUUAUGAAAAACCCAAAACCGUAUGGUAAAAUGCGAUAAACGAUAAGCAAAUUGUUUUCAGAAGCCAAUACGAGUACGAUAAUCGCUUUGAAGCGUACGGAACAUAAUCAGUAAAGCUCAACCACCAACAGAAUUUUGGAUGGCAAUCAAGCCAAUUUUGGAAAUAGUAGACGUUCGUACAACACUCUGAACUAUCGAAAGCUUCACGCACAAGUGGUUGCCAACAAACAAAAACCAAAACGUUGCAUAAAAUGUACAGCAAACCAAACUAAGCUAAACCAAUAAGUAGACACAAGUGGAGCGAAGAAAUGUAAUACCACCAAAAAAAAAAAAACCAAACUUUAGCGAUAAACUAAUACGUUCAAAAAACUUCAUAUUCUAUAAUUCGCAUGGUAAAAAAAGGGUGUAAGUAAAUGGAAUAAAAACGGUAUCAACCUGCA